GGAGAGUUGCCAGAGCGGUUGAAUGGGCCUGUCUCGAAAACAGGUGUCGCCAUUUGGCGACCGGAGGUUCGAAUCCUCCACUCUCCGCCA
This 90-nucleotide transfer RNA is filed under the name Candidatus Omnitrophota bacterium. RNAcentral's name for it is "Candidatus Omnitrophica bacterium tRNA-Ser". It matches the Rfam family "tRNA". From Rfam's summary of the family: Transfer RNA (tRNA) molecules are approximately 80 nucleotides in length. Their secondary structure includes four short double-helical elements and three loops (D, anti-codon, and T loops). Further hydrogen bonds mediate the characteristic L-shaped molecular structure. tRNAs have two regions of fundamental functional importance: the anti-codon, which is responsible for specific mRNA codon recognition, and the 3' end, to which the tRNAs corresponding amino acid is attached (by aminoacyl-tRNA synthetases). tRNAs cope with the degeneracy of the genetic code in two manners: having more than one tRNA (with a specific anti-codon) for a particular amino acid; and 'wobble' base-pairing, i.e. permitting non-standard base-pairing at the 3rd anti-codon position. Lineage: Bacteria; Pseudomonadati; Candidatus Omnitrophota. The record is from RNAcentral.